ACGAACGCUGGCGGCGUGCUUAACACAUGCAAGUCGAACGGAAAGGGCCUGCUUUUGUGGGGUGCUCGAGUGGCGAACGGGUGAGUAACACGUGAGUAACCUGCCCUUGACUUUGGGAUAACUUCAGGAAACUGGGGCUAAUACCGGAUAGGAGCUCCUGCUGCAUGGUGGGGGUUGGAAAGUUUCGGCGGUUGGGGAUGGACUCGCGGCUUAUCAGCUUGUUGGUGGGGUAGUGGCUUACCAAGGCUUUGACGGGUAGCCGGCCUGAGAGGGUGACCGGCCACAUUGGGACUGAGAUACGGCCCAGACUCCUACGGGAGGCAGCAGUGGGGAAUAUUGCACAAUGGGCGGAAGCCUGAUGCAGCAACGCCGCGUGCGGGAUGACGGCCUUCGGGUUGUAAACCGCUUUCGCCUGUGACGAAGCGUGAGUGACGGUAAUGGGUAAAGAAGCACCGGCUAACUACGUG
Molecule: ribosomal RNA, 467 nt
Filed under: uncultured bacterium
Lineage: Bacteria
Description: partial 16S ribosomal RNA
Rfam family: Bacterial small subunit ribosomal RNA
Source: RNAcentral